AUUAAUGAGUAAUAUUUCCAUAGUUUUUGUGAUUAUUAUUUAAUCACCCUUCUCACACUUUAUUUUAAUUCUCUCUACCAUAUGUUAUAUGCCUAAAUUUUGCUAAGUAUAGAAUUGAGAGAGUAGAGAGUUGAGAGUAUAUUAUGGAGAGAGUAAGGAUUGAUAGUGUAGAGAUUAGAGAGAGAUUAGAGUGAGAGAGAGAUCAAAGGCAUUAAUUGCCAAUAUUCUUUAAGAUUUGCAAAAUCUCUAUAAGAUCAUCUAAAUCUUGCAAAUCCAUUCAUAUCUCUCAAGCAACUCUCUCUCUCCUUCAUCCUCACCAAUCGGCCACCUCUCUCUCUCCUUUCUCUCUCAUAAUUCCUCCAUUGUCAACCAUUGGAGAGACCUCCGAAGCUUCACCAAAAUAUGCCAAACACAUAAAUCACCAACAAAAUUCCACCUAAACACCUCCUAUCAACUUGAAUCCAAGGAAAUCCUUGAAGAUUGGCUUCAAGACUAGUGAGAGAAAGUUUGUUUGUUGGUGAAAAACUUGAACACGAGCAGAGCAGGGAAGUAAGUAACUCCGCUUUGACGGGAGUUUUUGAGUAAGGUCUUCAGGCUAAGCGAGGAGCGAGAUUGGUCUGGUGCUGGCGGGGAAUUGUUAGAGGAUGUAUUUACUUUAUCGUAUUUCUAUUUUGACGAUAAAGUCUUGUUGAUUGAUAUACUUUGAUUUUCUUUUGAAUUUAAGCAAUGUACUCACGGUUAUAUGUCUUCAUACAUAUAAUCGGUUCACCUUUUGCUGCGAUACUCUGCAUAUUGUGAUUCCUUACGAAAAAUGAGCGAUACCCGUUUUGUUUUUGAUUUUGAAAUUCCUGAUAAUUAAAAAGUUAUAACGACAUUGACGAAAUUACCCUUGGGUUCAUUUAUGAUAAUUUCCUUAACACCUUUUGAUGCGAGCUUCCGCUUGAUGUUCGACCUAUCCUUCUUAUCUUUUAUUCUUUUAAAAAUAGUCGUAUCGAUACUCGUACCCCACUAUCACUAGUGUCGGGUUUUCGGGCUGCGACAGGGUGGUAUCAGAGCAGGUCAUCUGCUCUGAGUCUAUUGC
This is a long non-coding RNA of Salvia miltiorrhiza (redroot sage), 1081 nucleotides long. RefSeq lists it as uncharacterized. The transcript is spliced from 3 exons. NCBI's taxonomy places the organism in Eukaryota, Viridiplantae, Streptophyta, Magnoliopsida, Lamiales, Lamiaceae. The record is from RefSeq and is a predicted model, not a curated record.